RNAcentral lists this ribosomal RNA (810 nucleotides) under uncultured bacterium. Its description in RNAcentral is "partial 16S ribosomal RNA". It matches the Rfam family "Bacterial small subunit ribosomal RNA", at positions 88 to 893 of the family's 1533-position model. The record is from RNAcentral.
CCGGCGAGUGGCGAACGGGUGAGUAAUGCAUCGGAACGUACCCGGAAGUGGGGGAUAACGUAGCGAAAGUUACGCUAAUACCGCAUAUUCUGUGAGCAGGAAAGAGGGGGAUCUUCGGACCUCUUGCUNNNNNAGCGGCCGAUGUCAGAUUAGCUAGUUGGUGAGGUAAAGGCCCACCAAGGCGACGAUCUGUAGCGGGUCUGAGAGGAUGAUCCGCCACACUGGAACUGAGACACGGUCCAGACUCCUACGGGAGGCAGCAGUGGGGAAUUUUGGACAAUGGGCGCAAGCCUGAUCCAGCCAUGCCGCGUGAGUGAAGAAGGCCUUCGGGUUGUAAAGCUCUUUCGGCCGGGAAGAAAUCGCAUGGAUUAAUACUCUGUGCGGAUGACGGUACCGGCAUAAGAAGCACCGGCUAACUACGUGCCAGCAGUCGCGGUAAUACGUAGGGUGCGAGCGUUAAUCGGAAUUACUGGGCGUAAAGCGUGCGCAGGCGGUUUUUUAAGACAGGCGUGAAAUCCCCGGGCUCAACCUGGGAACUGCGCUUGUGACUGGAAGACUAGAGUAUGGCAGAGGGGGGUGGAAUUCCACGUGUAGCAGUGAAAUGCGUAGAGAUGUGGAGGAACACCGAUGGCGAAGGCAGCCCCCUGGGCCAAUACUGACGCUCAUGCACGAAAGCGUGGGUAGCAAACAGGNNNAGAUACCCUGGUAGUCCACGCCCUAAACGAUGUCAACUAGGUGUUGGGAGGGUAAAACCUUNNNGUACCGUAGCUAACGCGUGGAGUUGACCGCCUGGGGAGUNNNNNNGCAAGG